GACGAACGCUGGCGGCGUGCUUAACACAUGCAAGUUGAGCGGUAAGGCCCUUUCGGGGGUACACGAGCGGCGAACGGGUGAGUAACACGUGGGUGACCUGCCCUCAGCUCUGGGAUAAGCCUGGGAAACUGGGUCUAAUACCGGAUAUGACUCCAUGACGCAUGUUGUGGGGUGGAAAGCCUUGUGCGGCUGAGGAUGGGCCCGCGGCCUAUCAGCUUGUUGGUGGGGUGAUGGCCUACCAAGGCGACGACGGGUAGCCGGCCUGAGAGGGCGACCGGCCACACUGGGACUGAGACACGGCCCAGACUCCUACGGGAGGCAGCAGUGGGGAAUCUUGCGCAAUGGGCGAAAGCCUGACGCAGCGACGCCGCGUGAGGGAUGAC
This 383-nucleotide ribosomal RNA is filed under the name uncultured bacterium. Its description in RNAcentral is "bacterial SSU rRNA". It matches the Rfam family "Bacterial small subunit ribosomal RNA", at positions 28 to 412 of the family's 1533-position model. The record is from RNAcentral.